This 3007-nucleotide ribosomal RNA is filed under the name Salmonella enterica. RNAcentral's name for it is "23S ribosomal RNA". It matches the Rfam family "Bacterial large subunit ribosomal RNA". The record is from RNAcentral. Lineage: Bacteria; Pseudomonadati; Pseudomonadota; Gammaproteobacteria; Enterobacterales; Enterobacteriaceae.
GGUUAAGCGACUAAGCGUACACGGUGGAUGCCCUGGCAGUCAGAGGCGAUGAAGGGCGUGCUAAUCUGCGAUAAGCGCCGGUAAGGUGAUAUGAACCGUUAUAACCGGCGAUACCCGAAUGGGGAAACCCAGUGUGAUUCGUCACACUAUCAUUAACUGAAUCCAUAGGUUAAUGAGGCGAACCGGGGGAACUGAAACAUCUAAGUACCCCGAGGAAAAGAAAUCAACCGAGAUUCCCCCAGUAGCGGCGAGCGAACGGGGAGGAGCCCAGAGCCUGAAUCAGCAUGUGUGUUAGUGGAAGCGUCUGGAAAGGCGCGCGAUACAGGGUGACAGCCCCGUACACAAAAGCGCAUGUGCUGUGAGCUCGAUGAGUAGGGCGGGACACGUGGUAUCCUGUCUGAAUAUGGGGGGACCAUCCUCCAAGGCUAAAUACUCCUGACUGACCGAUAGUGAACCAGUACCGUGAGGGAAAGGCGAAAAGAACCCCGGCGAGGGGAGUGAAAAAGAACCUGAAACCGUGUACGUACAAGCAGUGGGAGCCCCACCACUAAGCCAGUGGUGAACUCCACAUCCGCAUCCUUUGCUGAGGAUACGGUUAACGGAGCGAAAGCGACGUUCAACCGCAAAACAAGCAGAGGGGGCUUAGUGGUGGGGUGACUGCGUACCUUUUGUAUAAUGGGUCAGCGACUUAUAUUCUGUAGCAAGGUUAACCGAAUAGGGGAGCCGGAGGGAAACCGAGUCUUAAUUGGGCGUUAAGUUGCAGGGUAUAGACCCGAAACCCGGUGAUCUAGCCAUGGGCAGGUUGAAGGUUGGGUAACACUAACUGGAGGACCGAACCGACUAAUGUUGAAAAAUUAGCGGAUGACCUGUGGCUGGGGGUGAAAGGCCAAUCAAACCGGGAGAUAGCUGGUUCUCCCCGAAAGCUAUUUAGGUAGCGCCUCGUGAAUUCAUCUCCGGGGGUAGAGCACUGUUUCGGCUAGGGGGCCAUCCCGGCUUACCAACCCGAUGCAAACUGCGAAUACCGGAGAAUGUUAUCACGGGAGACACACGGCGGGUGCUAACGUCCGUCGUGAAGAGGGAAACAACCCAGACCGCCAGCUAAGGUCCCAAAGUCAUGGUUAAGUGGGAAACGAUGUGGGAAGGCCCAGACAGCCAGGAUGUUGGCUUAGAAGCAGCCAUCAUUUAAAGAAAGCGUAAUAGCUCACUGGUCGAGUCGGCCUGCGCGGAAGAUGUAACGGGGCUAAACCAUGCACCGAAGCUGCGGCAGCGACGCUGAUGCGUUGUUGGGUAGGGGAGCGUUCUGUAAGCCUGCGAAGGUGACCUGUGAGGGUUGCUGGAGGUAUCAGAAGUGCGAAUGCUGACAUAAGUAACGAUAAAGCGGGUGAAAAGCCCGCUCGCCGGAAGACCAAGGGUUCCUGUCCAACGUUAAUCGGGGCAGGGUGAGUCGACCCCUAAGGCGAGGCCGAAAGGCGUAGUCGAUGGGAAACGGGUUAAUAUUCCCGUACUUGGUGUUACUGCGAAGGGGGGACGGAGAAGGCUAUGUUGGCCGGGCGACGGUUGUCCCGGUUUAAGCGUGUAGGUGUGUGUUCCAGGUAAAUCCGGUUCACUUUAACACUGAGGCGUGACGACGAGGCACUACGGUGCUGAAGCAACAAAUGCCCUGCUUCCAGGAAAAGCCUCUAAGCAUCAGGUAACACGAAAUCGUACCCCAAACCGACACAGGUGGUCAGGUAGAGAAUACCAAGGCGCUUGAGAGAACUCGGGUGAAGGAACUAGGCAAAAUGGUGCCGUAACUUCGGGAGAAGGCACGCUGACACGUAGGUGAAGUGAUUUACUCAUGGAGCUGAAGUCAGUCGAAGAUACCAGCUGGCUGCAACUGUUUAUUAAAAACACAGCACUGUGCAAACACGAAAGUGGACGUAUACGGUGUGACGCCUGCCCGGUGCCGGAAGGUUAAUUGAUGGGGUCAGCGUAAGCGAAGCUCCUGAUCGAAGCCCCGGUAAACGGCGGCCGUAACUAUAACGGUCCUAAGGUAGCGAAAUUCCUUGUCGGGUAAGUUCCGACCUGCACGAAUGGCGUAAUGAUGGCCAGGCUGUCUCCACCCGAGACUCAGUGAAAUUGAACUCGCUGUGAAGAUGCAGUGUACCCGCGGCAAGACGGAAAGACCCCGUGAACCUUUACUAUAGCUUGACACUGAACAUUGAGCCUUGAUGUGUAGGAUAGGUGGGAGGCUUUGAAGUGUGGACGCCAGUCUGCAUGGAGCCGACCUUGAAAUACCACCCUUUAAUGUUUGAUGUUCUAACGUGGACCCGUAAUCCGGGUUGCGGACAGUGUCUGGUGGGUAGUUUGACUGGGGCGGUCUCCUCCUAAAGAGUAACGGAGGAGCACGAAGGUUGGCUAAUCCUGGUCGGACAUCAGGAGGUUAGUGCAAUGGCAUAAGCCAGCUUGACUGCGAGCGUGACGGCGCGAGCAGGUGCGAAAGCAGGUCAUAGUGAUCCGGUGGUUCUGAAUGGAAGGGCCAUCGCUCAACGGAUAAAAGGUACUCCGGGGAUAACAGGCUGAUACCGCCCAAGAGUUCAUAUCGACGGCGGUGUUUGGCACCUCGAUGUCGGCUCAUCACAUCCUGGGGCUGAAGUAGGUCCCAAGGGUAUGGCUGUUCGCCAUUUAAAGUGGUACGCGAGCUGGGUUUAGAACGUCGUGAGACAGUUCGGUCCCUAUCUGCCGUGGGCGCUGGAGAACUGAGGGGGGCUGCUCCUAGUACGAGAGGACCGGAGUGGACGCAUCACUGGUGUUCGGGUUGUCAUGCCAAUGGCACUGCCCGGUAGCUAAAUGCGGAAGAGAUAAGUGCUGAAAGCAUCUAAGCACGAAACUUGCCCCGAGAUGAGUUCUCCCUGAGACUUAGAGUCUCCUGAAGGAACGUUGAAGACGACGACGUUGAUAGGCCGGGUGUGUAAGCGCAGCGAUGCGUUGAGCUAACCGGUACUAAUGAACCGUGAGGCUUAACCUU